GAUGAACGCUGGCGGCGUGUCUAAUACAUGCAAGUCGAGCGAACAGACGAGGAGCUUGCUCCUCUGACGUUAGCGGCGGACGGGUGAGUAACACGUGGAUAACCUACCUAUAAGACUGGGAUAACUUCGGGAAACCGGAGCUAAUACCGGAUAAUAUAUUGAACCGCAUGGUUCAAUAGUGAAAGACGGUUUUGCUGUCACUUAUAGAUGGAUCCGCGCCGCAUUAGCUAGUUGGUAAGGUAACGGCUUACCAAGGCAACGAUGCGUAGCCGACCUGAGAGGGUGAUCGGCCACACUGGAACUGAGACACGGUCCAGACUCUUACGGGAGGCAGCAGUAGGGAAUCUUCCGCAAUGGGCGAAAGCUUGACGGAGCAACGCCGCGUGAGUGAUGAAGGUCUUCGGAUCGUAAAACUCUGUUAUUAGGGAAGAACAAAUGUGUAAGUAACUAUGCACGUCUUGACGGUACCUAAUCAGAAAGCCACGGCUAACUACGUG
RNAcentral lists this ribosomal RNA (497 nucleotides) under uncultured bacterium. Its description in RNAcentral is "partial 16S ribosomal RNA". It matches the Rfam family "Bacterial small subunit ribosomal RNA", at positions 28 to 507 of the family's 1533-position model. The record is from RNAcentral.